AUGGCUCCCUUCGUUUCCUCCCUCCUCCUGGCCGAGGAACCAGCUUCCUUGCGCUCGUGCCCAAGGCCUCGUCUCUUCCUCCUCUGCUCGACGCCUACCGUCCCCGCCAUGGACUUGGAGCUUGCCUCCUCGCGCCCAUGCCCGCCUGAUUCCGCAGCAACCUCGCCGGAGACCAGCGCCUCCUCUGCUCUGUCCCGCGCACACGAGCCCAACGGGAGAGGAGCUCCUCACCAGCGUGCUCCUCACCCACGCCCGCGCCCGCAACCAGGCACCCGAGGCCGAGCCUCCUGCCUCGUCCGUGCGUCCGCGCUGGCGACCACCAGGACCGCGUCGCCCUCUCCUUCACUUUCUUCCUUCCUUGCCUCUCUCUCGCAGCAUGCUCCCUCUCAUCUCUCCCGUGUCUCUGCAAGAAAACGCCAUGGCCGCCCCGAGCUCCGUCCGCGCCGUCAUUGCCCGGAUCCGGCGCCGGCCAGCCGGAUCCGCCCCGUCUCCACUUCGCCGACCUUCCCUGUAGCCGCUGCCGCUCGAGACCGCUGUGCGCCGAGCCCCCACUGCUGUUGCGCCGUUGACCCCGUCCUCGCCGCACCCCUACUUCCUUGCAUCGGUCACGUUGACCGUAGCCUCGAUCCGAGCCAGCCUCCUCGUGCCCGUGUGGGCCUCAUCCCGCAGCCGGCACAGCGCAACUCCCAGCCGGCCUCCCACUGCUUCCAAACCGGGUCGAAGCCCACUGGUUCCGGCAACGUUGUGAUUGUGAGGAUUCGUUCGACUGCUCCCGUUCGUCUUCUUCAUGGACACGUUCUUCUUCCUAGCGGGAUUUCAGGUACAGGUUAUGCGAUGAUCAUGACGCGAGAGCGGUGCUUGCUUGCGUUGAGUUCUUCUUCUGCUUCUUCUUCGAUCAGGGGAUAG
This 906-nucleotide ribosomal RNA is filed under the name Triticum aestivum (bread wheat). RNAcentral's name for it is "partial small subunit ribosomal RNA". Lineage: Eukaryota; Viridiplantae; Streptophyta; Magnoliopsida; Poales; Poaceae. The record is from RNAcentral.